CCUACGGGUGGCUGCAGUGGGGAAUAUUGCACAAUGGGCGCAAGCCUGAUGCAGCCAUGCCGCGUGUGUGAAGAAGGCCUUCGGGUUGUAAAGCACUUUCAGCGGGGAGGAAGGCGGUGAGGUUAAUAACCUCAUCGAUUGACGUUACCCGCAGAAGAAGCACCGGCUAACUCCGUGCCAGCAGCCGCGGUAAUACGGAGGGUGCAAGCGUUAAUCGGAAUUACUGGGCGUAAAGCGCACGCAGGCGGUCUGUCAAGUCGGAUGUGAAAUCCCCGGGCUCAACCUGGGGACUGCAUUCGAAACUGGCAGGCUAGAGUCUUGUAGAGGGGGGUAGAAUUCCAGGUGUAGCGGUGAAAUGCGUAGAGAUCUGGAGGAAUACCGGUGGCGAAGGCGGCCCCCUGGACAAAGACUGACGCUCAGGUGCGAAAGCGUGGGGAGCAAACAGGAUUAGAUACCCGUGUAGUC
RNAcentral lists this ribosomal RNA (465 nucleotides) under uncultured Klebsiella sp. Its description in RNAcentral is "bacterial SSU rRNA". It matches the Rfam family "Bacterial small subunit ribosomal RNA", at positions 338 to 795 of the family's 1533-position model. The record is from RNAcentral. Lineage: Bacteria; Pseudomonadati; Pseudomonadota; Gammaproteobacteria; Enterobacterales; Enterobacteriaceae.